AAGGAUUGAAAGCAAAUACACUAUUAACAAUUUCAUACGUGGAUAAUUUUUAUCUUCUCUCUUUUUCUGUCAUUUACAGAUUUUCCACAAUGAGUUUGUCUUUUAUAAUAAAAAGUUAAUUUAAAAGGACAAGCAAUUCAGGCUGGGCGCAGUGGCACACACCUGUAAUCCCAGAACUUUGGGAGGCUGAGGUGGGUGGAUCACCUGUGGUGAAGAGUUCAAGACCAGCCUGGCCAACAUGGUGAAACCCCAUCUCUACUAAAAAUACAAAAAUUAGCCGGGCAUGGUGGUGGACACCUGUAAUCCCAACUACUCGGGAGGCUGAGGCAGGAGAAUCACUUGAACCCAGGAGGCGGAGAUUGCAGUGAGCUGAGAUCACACCACUGCACUCCAGCCUGGGCGACACGGCGAGACUCUAUGUCAAAAGAAAAGAAAAGAAAAGAAAAGAAAAGAAAAGGACAAGCAAUUCUUCAAUCUUGGGAUAAAUGAAGACAUUGAUUGGAGUGUCAUAAAACUAAGAUGUGAGAAUUUUUGAAUUAGAAUUUUAAUUUUAAUACCUACUUUCAAGAGGAGGUAAGAACCAAAAGUUUUAAAGGGAAAAGACUGAAGAUGAGCAUGUUUCUUUGAAUUAUAAAACUUGGGUUUAAUACCACUAGACUCUAAAUUUCCAACCCUAGUAAUAUGGAAUAUGCUGUUGGAACUCAACGUGGUCGUUUGCUUAACUUUUUGUUGAUAUAAUCUGAAAUGAUAUUAAAUCUCACUGUGGAGCAUCAUAAAAACAACCUAUUUGUCAGAGAAGAGUAGGACAAUUGUCCUAUUAAAUUGGAAAACUGAAAAAGAAAAUUUAAAAACAGACUUCCAUUAUUGCAUUCAUAUGACAAAUACUUUUUGAGUGUCUGUGUCACUGGGCACUGUACUACCUUGUAACUACCUAGGCAGUCGGGGUAGGGAAUCCUCCUUGGGGAAGUACCCUUUGUAAGGCCAGGCACAGAGAAAAAGGAGGGUAAAGAGUGUGCUAGGUAAUAGGUAGAGGACAUGUACAAAUAGAUGGCUACUGAUUUUCAGUUGAUAACUAUGUCUAAUUAGGUGAAUACCAUCUUAUUCUAGCAAGAGUAUCAGAGUGCGUUCAUUCCUGAGGACCCUUUCCCUGGUGUUGAAACAAAUUAUCUCUAGCCUUCAGUACGAAAUAAAUUCCCUUUUGCUACAUUUCUGCCAAAUCUGAAGAAUCACAAUGGAUGAGUCUCAUGCCUAUUUCAAAAUGGUAUAGAGUCUCUGGGGGUUCAGUAUAUUUAACUUGUUUCCUCAUAAGUGUGACUUCAAGAUAUUGUUUCAUGCUGGAAUUGUAAAUUGUGAUUUAUCCAUUCUCUGUAGAAAUAUUAAAUAAAUCUGAAAAAACU
Molecule: long non-coding RNA, 1397 nt
Filed under: Homo sapiens (human)
Lineage: Eukaryota; Metazoa; Chordata; Mammalia; Primates; Hominidae
Description: HSALNT0071683
Source: RNAcentral